CGCAUGGUAGGAGAGCGUUCCGUAAGCCUGCGAAGGUGCCUUGUAAAGGGUGCUGGAGGUAUCGGAAGUGCGAAUGCUGACAUGAGUAGCGAUAAAGGGGGUGAAAGGCCCCCUCGCCGUAAGCCCAAGGUUUCCUACGCAACGUUCAUCGGCGUAGGGUGAGUCGGCCCCUAAGGCGAGGCAGAAAUGCGUAGCUGAUGGGAAGCAGGUCAAUAUUCCUGCACCAUUGUUAGAUGCGAUGGGGGGACGGAUCGCGGAAGGUUGUCCGGGUGUUGGAAGUCCCGGUCGCUGCAUUGGAGAAGGCACUUAGGCAAAUCCGGGUGCGCAAUUCAAGGGUGUGGCGCGAGCUCCUUCGGGAGCGAAGCAAUUGGAAGUGGUUCCAAGAAAAGCCUCUAAGCUUCAGUCUAACGAUGACCGUACCGCAAACCGACACAGGUGGGCGAGAUGAGUAUUCUAAGGCGCUUGAGAGAACUCGGGAGAAGGAACUCGGCAAAUUGGUACCGUAACUUCGGGAUAAGGUACGCCCUUGUAGCUUGACUGGCCUGCGCCAGGAGGGUGAAGGGGUUGCAAUAAACUGGUGGCUGCGACUGUUUAAUAAAAACACAGCACUCUGCAAACACGAAAGUGGACGUAUAGGGUGUGACGCCUGCCCGGUGCCGGAAGAUUAAAUGAUGGGGUGCAAGCUCUUGAUUGAAGUCCCGGUAAACGGCGGCCGUAACUAUAACGGUCCUAAGGUAGCGAAAUUCCUUGUCGGGUAAGUUCCGACCUGCACGAAUGGCGUAACGAUGGCCACACUGUCUCCUCCCGAGACUCAGCGAAGUUGAAGUGUUUGUGAUGAUGCAAUCUACCCGCGGCUAGACGGAAAGACCCCAUGAACCUUUACUGUAGCUUUGCAUUGGACUUUGAACCGAUCUGUGUAGGAUAGGUGGGAGGCUAUGAAACCGGAACGCUAGUUUCGGUGGAGCCGUCCUUGAAAUACCACCCUGGUUUGUUUGAGGUUCUAACCUUGGCCCGUGAUCCGGGUCGGGGACAGUGCAUGGUAGGCAGUUUGACUGGGGCGGUCUCCUCCCAAAGCGUAACGGAGGAGUACGAAGGUACGCUAGGUACGGUCGGAAAUCGUGCUGAUAGUGCAAUGGCAUAAGCGUGCUUAACUGCGAGACCGACAAGUCGAGCAGGUGCGAAAGCAGGUCAUAGUGAUCCGGUGGUUCUGUAUGGAAGGGCCAUCGCUCAACGGAUAAAAGGUACUCUGGGGAUAACAGGCUGAUACCGCCCAAGAGUUCAUAUCGACGGCGGUGUUUGGCACCUCGAUGUCGGCUCAUCUCAUCCUGGGGCUGUAGCCGGUCCCAAGGGUAUGGCUGUUCGCCAUUUAAAGAGGUACGUGAGCUGGGUUUAAAACGUCGUGAGACAGUUUGGUCCCUAUCUGCCGUGGGCGUUGGAUAUUUGAAGGGGGCUGCUCCUAGUACGAGAGGACCGGAGUGGACGAACCUCUGGUGUACCGGUUGUCACGCCAGUGGCAUCGCCGGGUAGCUAUGUUCGGAAGAGAUAACCGCUGAAAGCAUCUAAGCGGGAAACUCGCCUUAAGAUGAGAUAUCCCUGGGGACUAGAUCCCCUUGAAGGGUCGUUCGAGACCAGGACGUUGAUAGGUCAGGUGUGUAAGCGCAGUAAUGCGUUCAGCUAACUGAUACUAAUUGCCCGUAAGGCUUGAUCCU
This 1709-nucleotide ribosomal RNA is filed under the name Burkholderia cepacia. RNAcentral describes it as "partial 23S ribosomal RNA". It matches the Rfam family "Bacterial large subunit ribosomal RNA", at positions 1222 to 2925 of the family's 2925-position model. The record is from RNAcentral. Lineage: Bacteria; Pseudomonadati; Pseudomonadota; Betaproteobacteria; Burkholderiales; Burkholderiaceae. RNAcentral also lists the same sequence under 1 other name.